This 826-nucleotide ribosomal RNA is filed under the name uncultured compost bacterium. RNAcentral's name for it is "bacterial SSU rRNA". It matches the Rfam family "Bacterial small subunit ribosomal RNA", at positions 28 to 897 of the family's 1533-position model. The record is from RNAcentral.
AACGAACGCUGGCGGCAGGCCUAACACAUGCAAGUCGAGCGCGUCCCUUCGGGGGCGAGCGGCGCACGGGUGAGUAACGCGUGGGAACCUACCCUGGGGUAAGGGAUAACCGCUGGAAACGGCGGCUAAUACCCUAUACGUCCUGAGGGAGAAAGAUUUAUCGCCCUGGGAUGGGCCCGCGUCGGAUUAGCUAGUUGGUGGGGUAACGGCUCACCAAGGCGACGAUCCGUAGCUGGUCUGAGAGGAUGAUCGGCCACACUGGGACUGAGACACGGCCCAGACUCCUACGGGAGGCAGCAGUGGGGAAUAUUGGACAAUGGGCGCAAGCCUGAUCCAGCCAUGCCGCGUGAGUGAAGAAGGCCCUAGGGUUGUAAAGCUCUUUCACCCGCGAAGAUGAUGACGGUAGCGGGAGAAGAAGCCCCGGCUAACUCCGUGCCAGCAGCCGCGGUAAUACGGAGGGGGCUAGCGUUGUUCGGAUUUACUGGGCGUAAAGGGCGCGUAGGCGGAUGUUCGCGUCAGAGGUGAAAGCCCCGGGCUCAACCUGGGAACUGCCUUUGAAACGGGACAUCUUGAGUUCGGGAGAGGGUAGCGGAAUUCCCAGUGUAGAGGUGAAAUUCGUAGAUAUUGGGAAGAACACCGGUGGCGAAGGCGGCUACCUGGCCCGAUACUGACGCUGAGGCGCGAAAGCGUGGGGAGCAAACAGGAUUAGAUACCCCUGGUAGUCCACGCCGUAAACGAUGUGCGCUAGCCGUCGGGGUGCUUGGCACUUCGGUGGCGCAGUUAACGCAUUAAGCGCACCGCCUGGGGACUACGGCCGCAAGGCUAA